Molecule: ribosomal RNA, 406 nt
Filed under: uncultured bacterium
Lineage: Bacteria
Description: partial 16S ribosomal RNA
Rfam family: Bacterial small subunit ribosomal RNA
Source: RNAcentral
AUUGAACGCUGGCGGCGGGCCUAACACAUGCAAGUCGAACGAGUGGCGGACGGGGGAGUAAUGUCUGGGAGACUGCCCGAUGGAGGGGGAUAACUACUGGGACCGGUAGCUAAUACCGCAUACCAUCGGAUGUGCCCAGAUGGGAGUAGCUAGUCGGUGGGGUAAGGGCUCACCUAGGCGACGAUCCCUGGCUGGUCUGGGGGGGUGACCAGACACACUGGAAUUGACACACGGUCCAGACUCCUACGUGAGGCAGCAGUGGGGAAUAUUGCACAAUGGGCGCAAGCCUGAUGCAGCCAUGCCGCGUGUAUGAAGAAGGCCUUCGGGUUGUAAAGUACUUUCAGCGGGGAGGCGUUACCCGCAGAAGAAGCACCGGCUAACUCCGUGCCAGCAGCCGCGGUAAUUC